RNAcentral lists this ribosomal RNA (378 nucleotides) under uncultured bacterium. RNAcentral describes it as "bacterial SSU rRNA". It matches the Rfam family "Bacterial small subunit ribosomal RNA", at positions 362 to 765 of the family's 1533-position model. The record is from RNAcentral.
UUUUGGACAAUGGGGGCAACCCUGAUCCAGCAAUGCCGCGUGAGUGAAGAAGGCCUUCGGGUUGUAAAGCUCUUUUGUCAGGGAAGAAACACCGGCUUUACCCAGUCCGGGAAUGACGGUACCUGAAGAAUAAGCCCCGGCUAACUACGUGCCAGCAGCCGCGGUAAUACGUAGGGGGUGAGCGUUAUCGGAAUUACUGGGCGAAAGCGUGCGCAGGCGGUUUCAAGUCAGGCGUAAAUCCCCGGGCUUACCUGGAAUGGCGCCUGUGCUGAUGCAGAGUGCGUCGAGGGGGGAGAUUCCACGUGAGCAGUAAAUUGAAAUGGGGGGAUCCAAUGGGGAAGGAGCCCCUGGGAACUCUGCGUAGUGCAAAUCGAUCUU